AUUGAACGCUGGCGGCAGGCCUAACACAUGCAAGUCGAGCGGAUGAAGCGAUCUUUCUCCUGUUUUCAGCGGCGCACGGUUGCGUAAUGCCUAUGUAUCUCCCUGGUAUUGGUGUAUAACGUCCUUAAACCGGCGCUAAUACCCCAUACGUCCUUAGGGAGUUUGUGCCGGAUCUUCGGACCUUUCGCUAUCAGAUUAGCCUAGGUCGGAUUAUCUAGUUGGUGUGUUAAAGUCCUACCAAGUCGACGAUCCGUAACUGAUCUGAGAGGAUGAUCAGUCACAGUGGAACAGAGACACGGACGAGAAUCGUACGGGAGGCAGCAGUGGGGAAGAUUGGACAAAGGGCGAAAGCAUGAUAGAGGAAUGCCGCGUGUGUGAAGAAGGUCUUGGGAUUGUAAAGGACUUAAAGUUGGGAGGAAGGGAAGUAAGUUAAUACCUUGCUGUAUUGACGUUACCAAGAGAAUAAGAACCGGCUAACUUCGUG
RNAcentral lists this ribosomal RNA (484 nucleotides) under uncultured bacterium. RNAcentral's name for it is "partial 16S ribosomal RNA". It matches the Rfam family "Bacterial small subunit ribosomal RNA", at positions 30 to 507 of the family's 1533-position model. The record is from RNAcentral.